Molecule: long non-coding RNA, 2331 nt
Filed under: Pelobates cultripes (western spadefoot toad)
Lineage: Eukaryota; Metazoa; Chordata; Amphibia; Anura; Pelobatidae
Source: RNAcentral
GGCAAUAAUACAUUUCUAGGAAACUUUCACCAAAUACUGUAAAGAAGAUUGCAUAUUAGAACAGACAGACGGAAAUCGUGUACCGCUGGUAAGAACAAUAUCCAGAUAUAACUGCUUUCAAACACAGCGAUUUAUUCACAAACUUUCAAAAAUUCCUUUUGUCACAUUUCCAUUUCCAAUAACCUGGCAUAUUCACUGUGAAUUGAUCUUGUGUUAGUUAUUUUAUUAAUGUCUAGAGAAUUGGUUUUAACAGGCGUUUCCUAGUAACAUUACUCACAGGUCAUUUACACAGGUACAUAUAUAAUUUAUUUAUUCUAUGUUGUUUGUGGUUAUAUUGGGGGGGGGGAAUCAGUUCUGCAUGGAAAUGAAUCACUCAGCAUAGUCAGCCCUCAAAAGCUAACGUUAUUGGGUUUUUUCAGAAUAUCCCAUGGUCACAAACGGCUAAAAUGUUUAGGGGUUAACUUGGAGAGAGCUGUGCUGGAUGACGCAUCUAGGGUGACAGACACAAGAGAGGGCAGAGACAUCGGGUGACAGGCUUGAGAGAGACUGCGGACACAACACCAGAAGGGUGACAGACAUCAGGAUAGGGUGCAGAGUGACGAAGUGAUCGAGCAGUGGAGGACCCUUGGAUCUAUCUCCCCAUCACUCUUACUGACAGACACCAGGGCUGUAGGCCUCCAUUCAGGCAUCACACACCUAAUAAUAAGGGACGAGGCUUAGUACAUAACCGGCCACAUCUCUCUGAAAGACUUAUUUAUACAUAGCAAGUACUGCCAUUCUGUAAUGUGAUUCCUACGGCACUUAAUUGCACACAAUGGGGGUAUAAUCCCUGGCUGUCCAGGGGGUGGCAUGUGGUCCAAGACCCCACUUUGUGCUGAUCAAUGUCCUGAACAUUACACAUCUUACUUGGCACUUUGCAAUAACACAGCAUGUUCCUCUCAAUAUGUUUCUGCUCUUUUGCCAUUUAAUAGUUUUGCAUGUUUUUUUUUUCUAUCUUUAACUUUUUUCAUGUUCUGUUCCAAUGUCACCAAUACUGGAUUUCAUUCAACAAACCUCGUAGGCUCUCCGAGAGCGGUUUAUUUACCUGUUUAAUUAACGCAAACAAUAGGCUUUAAUAUUUAAUGAUGUGAUAAUUAGCUGCUACCAACAUUAGCCCUCUUUUUUUUGUGUAAAUUUCUUUUUAUUUUUUCAAAAUAAAACUUGUAUCUGAUAUGCAUUGGUGGGCCUCCCAUGUCUCCAGACAAUGGACAUCACAUUGGGACACGCAGGUCCCUUACAUUGCAAACACUUGGAUCUUGCAUCACAUUGUAAUGGGAUAAUACAUCCUCAUAAUAACUCAGUUGGUCUCAAUGUUGGGUUACAUAUAUUGCUGAUAGAGGUAUGGUGUAGGAUAUCCAACUGUCUAACAGUAUAAAAUAAACAUUGUAACAAACUAAACUUACGGGUCUCAGUCACACUAUCUGCAUUUUGUAAAUUCCCUUUCACUUGAAGUUGUUGGCUUUUAUUUUUAGAUAGGAAAUAAAGGUUAAGACUCGCAGGUCCCUUAAAAUCUCAAGAAGGGACACGCGGGUCCCAGUACAUAUAUUUCAAGUGCGUGCAACCGUGUUUCAAUGUCAGGUAUGGUAAGCAACUGCAUCAUGUAAGGUAAAACGGUGUGACCCCAGCAGCUCAGCUCCCGGUUGGGCGUAUGUUUUACGUGUUAGGCAGGCGAGUGCGCCUCGGUGUGGUCACUCUCUGGGCCACACGCCGAGCCCCAUGGUACAGGCCCCUUUGAAGAAGAGGAUGGAAGAGAAGGAGGUGAAGCAGAAAUGAGAGAUAUGGCAAGGGGAGAAUGAGGUAUUAAAGCGGGUGCGGAUCAGCUCACCCACCUCCCGGUGUCUCCUACUGAGGAUCUUCAGGUCCCUCUCCUCCGUGGUCGCGGCAAGCGGGACCCCCUUCCCCGGAUAUCUAGUCCGGAACUCUUCCGUGACGGCACGUGCCAGCCAUGGUGCCCAUAUGUCCGUGUGCGUCUUGGGCUCAGUACCACAGCUCUUCCAUAACCCGUAACUCCUCCAUUUUGGUAUACCAAAGGGUCAGCGGUGGGGCUGUGUCCUUUUUCCAGCACAAGGGUAUUAGAUGCUUUGUGAUGUUAAGGAUGCGAAUGGUCAUGGAGCGUUUGUAGCAGGAUGUGGGGGAUGUUGUGUGGUGUAGAAAAUAGGUGACUGGCCGGAAGGGUGGAGUGCUAUCCGUGAACAGGGCUAUUGUCAGGAUCGUGACAGGGAUCCAACACGCAGAAUACAAACAGGGGAUAGGUACGUAUACCGGACCUUAGAAUGGCCGGACUAACGUAAG